This 429-nucleotide ribosomal RNA is filed under the name uncultured bacterium. RNAcentral's name for it is "bacterial SSU rRNA". It matches the Rfam family "Bacterial small subunit ribosomal RNA", at positions 917 to 1349 of the family's 1533-position model. The record is from RNAcentral.
GGGCCCGCACAAGCGGCGGAGCAUGUUGCUUAAUUCGAUGAUACGCGAGGAACCUUACCAGGGCUUAAAUGUAAGUUGCAUAGACCAGAGAUGGUCUUUUCUUCGGACUACUUACAAGGUGCUGCAUGGUUGUCGUCAGCUCGUGCCGUGAGGUGUCAGGUUAAGUCCUAUAACGAGCGCAACCCCUGUCGUUAGUUGCCAGCAAGUUAAGUUGGGCACUCUAGCGAGACUGCCGGUGCAAACCGCGAGGAAGGUGGGGAUGACGUCAAAUCAUCACGGCCCUUACGUCCUGGGCUACACACGUGCUACAAUGGCCGGUACAGAGAGCAGCCACUCCGCGAGGAGGAGCGAAUCUAUAAAACCGGUCUCAGUUCGGAUCGCAGUCUGCAACUCGACUGCGUGAAGCUGGAAUCGCUAGUAAUCGCAGGU